AGAGUUUGAUCCUGGCUCAGAAUCAACGCUGGCGGCGUGCCUCAGACAUGCAAGUCGAACGAUUAAACUUUCCUUCGGGGAAGAUAUAAAGUGGCGCACGGGUGAGUAACACGUAGGUAAUCUACCUUUGAGUGGGGAAUAACAGUCGGAAACGACUGCUAAUACCGCAUAAUGCAGCGGCACCGCAAGGUGACAGUUGUUAAAGGAGCAAUCCGCUUAAAGAGGAGCCUGCGGCAGAUUAGCUAGUUGGUAAGGUAAUGGCUUACCAAGGCUACGAUCUGUAACCGACCUGAGAGGGUGGUCGGUCACACUGACACUGAAUAACGGGUCAGACUCCUACGGGAGGCAGCAGUCGGGAAUUUUGGGCAAUGGGCGAAAGCCUGACCCAGCAACGCCGCGUGAAGGAUGAAGUAUUUCGGUAUGUAAACUUCGAAAGAAUAGGAAGAAUAAAUGACGGUACUAUUUAUAAGGUCCGGCUAACUACGUGCCAGCAGCCGCGGUAAUACGUAGGGACCAAGCGUUGUUCGGAUUUACUGGGCGUAAAGGGCGCGUAGGCGGCAGUUCAAGUCACUUGUGAAAUCUCCGAGCUUAACUCGGAACGGUCAAGUGAUACUGUUUUGCUAGAGUGCAGAAGGGGCAAUCGGAAUUCUUGGUGUAACGGUGAAAUGCGUAGAUAUCAAGAGGAACACCUGAGGUGAAGACGGGUUGCUGGGCUGACACUGACGCUGAGGCGCGAAAGCUAGGGUAGCAAACGGGAUUAGAUACCCUGGUAGUCC
This 776-nucleotide ribosomal RNA is filed under the name uncultured bacterium. Its description in RNAcentral is "bacterial SSU rRNA". It matches the Rfam family "Bacterial small subunit ribosomal RNA", at positions 8 to 796 of the family's 1533-position model. The record is from RNAcentral.